AGCCGAAGCGAAAGCGAGUCUGAAUAGGGCGUCAAGUUGGUGGUGGUAGACGCGAAACCUUAGUGAUCUACCCAUGGGCAGGGUGAAGGUUUGGUAACACAAACUGGAGGCCCGAACCGGUAAACGUUGAAAAGUUUUCGGAUGACCUGUGGGUAGGGGUGAAAGGCCAAUCAAACUGGGAAAUAGCUCGUACUCUCCGAAAUGCAUUUAGGUGCAGCCUCUGUUGUUUUGUUCUAGAGGUAGAGCUACUGAUUGGAUGCGAGGGCUUCACCGCCUAUCAAAUCCGGCCAAACUCCGAAUGCUAGAACAUGAAGACAGGGAGUGAGCCAGCGGGUGCUAAGGUCCGUUGACGAAAGAGGGAGAACUCAGACCAUCAGCUAAGGUCCCCAAUUGUAUGCUAAGUUGGAAUUAAAACGGGGUGGGACUGCUUAGACAGCUAGGAUGUUGGCUUGGAAGCAGCCAUUCAUUUAAAGAGUGCGUAACAGCUCACUAGUCGAGCGGUCCUGCAUGGAUAAUACGCGGGCAUAAGCAUAUAACCGAAGCUAUGGGAUUGUAGAUGAUACAAUCGGUAGGAGAGCAUUCCAUUCAGCAUAGAAGCAGUACCGUGAGGUAUUGUGGAGCGGAUGGAAAAGCAAAUGUAGGCAUAAGUAACGAUAAUGCGGGUGAGAACCCCGCACGCCGAAAGAUCAAGGAUUCCCCGGCAAUGUCAAUCAUCCGGGGGUAAGUCGGAUCCUAAGGGUAAGCCGAGUGGCGAUCCCGAUGGCAAACAGGUUAAUAUUCCUGUACUGAUCAUAACUGCGAUGCAGCGACGCAGAGGUGACACUGCUGCGUACUGACGGAAUAGUACGUUGAAACCCGUAUUCUUUGAUACCGGUAGUGAAGCACGCCGGUAGAGAUGAAAGGUGAUAGUACCGCAAUGCUUCGGUUGCGCGGAUAACGCAGGUAAGCUGACUGCCAAGAAAACCUGCUAAGCUUCAGGUAAUGAUCAUCCGUACUGUAAACGGACACACGUGAUCAGGUAGAAAAUACUAAGGCGCUCGAGAGAUUCAUGGUUAAGGAACUAGGCAAAAUGGUCCUGUAACUUCGGGAUAAAGGACGCUCUUGUGAAAGAGCCGCAGAUAAUAGGCCCAGGCGACUGUUUACCAAAAACACAUGGCUAUGCUAAUUCGCAAGAAGAUGUAUAUGGCCUGACACCUGCCCGGUGCCGGAAGGUUAAGAGGAGAGCUCAGAGGCAACUCGAAGGUUUGAAUUGAAGCCCCGGUAAACGGCGGCCGUAACUAUAACGGUCCUAAGGUAGCGAAAUUCCUUGUCGGGUAAGUUCCGACCUGCACGAAUGGUGUAACGAUCUGGGUACUGUCUCAACCAUGAGCUCGGUGAAAUUGUAGUUCCGGUGAAGAUGCCGGAUACCCGCAACGGGACGGAAAGACCCCGUGAACCUUUACUGCAGCUUUGCAUUGAUUUUGGGUAACAGAUGUGUAGGAUAGGUCGGAGGCUUUGAUGCUGCGUCGUCAGGCGUAGAGUAGCCGUCGUUGAAAUACGACCCUUUUGUUAUCUGAGGUCUAAUCCCGUUAGGGAGACAUUGCAUGGUGGGUAGUUUGACUGGGGUGGUCGCCUCCAAAAGUGUAACGGAGGCUUCUCAAGGUACCCUCAAGGCGUUUGGUAAUCGUCUGCAGAGUGCAAUGGCAUAAGGGUGCUUGACUGUGAGACCGACACGUCGAUCAGGUUGGAAACAAGAGCAUAGUGAUCCGGUGGUUCCGCAUGGAAGGGCCAUCGCUCAAAGGAUAAAAGGUACUCCGGGGAUAACAGGCUGAUCGCUCCCAAGAGCUCAUAUCGACGGAGCGGUUUGGCACCUCGAUGUCGGCUCGUCACAUCCUGGGGCUGGAGAAGGUCCCAAGGGUUCGGCUGUUCGCCGAUUAAAGUGGCACGCGAGCUGGGUUCAGAACGUCGUGAGACAGUUCGGUCCCUAUCUGUUGUGGGCGCAGGAUAUUUGAGGAGCUCUGACUCUAGUACGAGAGGACCGGGUUGGACAUACCUCUGGUGAAUCAGUUGUGUCGCCAGAUGCACUGCUGAGUAGCUAUGUAUGGAUUGGAUAAGCGCUGAAAGCAUCUAAGCGCGAAGCCAGCUUCAAGAUGAGAUAUCCUUACAGGGUCGUUCGAGAUGAGAACGUUGAUAGGUUGCAGGUGUAUAGUCGGUGACGGCACAGCCGAGCAAUACUAAUUACCCGAAUGUUUACUUUAA
This 2238-nucleotide ribosomal RNA is filed under the name gut metagenome. RNAcentral describes it as "bacterial LSU rRNA". It matches the Rfam family "Bacterial large subunit ribosomal RNA", at positions 664 to 2925 of the family's 2925-position model. The record is from RNAcentral.